RNAcentral lists this ribosomal RNA (254 nucleotides) under uncultured bacterium. RNAcentral describes it as "partial 16S ribosomal RNA". It matches the Rfam family "Bacterial small subunit ribosomal RNA", at positions 524 to 776 of the family's 1533-position model. The record is from RNAcentral.
UACGUAGGGUGCGAGCGUUGUCCGGAAUUAUUGGGCGUAAAGAGCUCGUAGGCGGUCUGUCGCGUCGAUCGUGAAAACUUGGGGCUUAACCCUGAGCUUGCGGUCGAUACGGGCAUGACUGGAGUUCGGCAGGGGAGACUGGAAUUCCCGGUGUAGCGGUGAAAUGCGCAGAUAUCAGGAGGAACACCGGUGGCGAAGGCGGGUCUCUGGGCCGAUACUGACGCUGAGGAGCGAAAGCGUGGGGAGCGAACGGG